Molecule: ribosomal RNA, 834 nt
Filed under: uncultured archaeon
Lineage: Archaea
Description: bacterial SSU rRNA
Rfam family: Archaeal small subunit ribosomal RNA
Source: RNAcentral
CACGUUAUAUCAUGAUAUAAAGUAUCGUGAGUCUUUGUAUGAAACAAGGCAGACGACUCAGUAGCGCGUACCCUUAAAAACCUGUGGGCGGGAAUAACCUCGGGAAACUGACCUUUAUACUCGACAGACCAAUAUGCCUGAAAUGUGUUGUGUUCCAUAUGAUUCUUCUCCUUAGGAUGAGACUGCCCCCUAUCAGUUUGUUGAUGAGGUAAUGGCCCACCAAGACUAUUACAGGUACGGGCUCUGAGAGGAGUGAUCCGGAGAUGGAUACUGAUACACGGACCCAUGCCCUAUGGGGCGCAGCAGGGGAGAUAACUUUGUAAUGUGCGAAAGCAGGACAAGGUUAAUCCGAGUGGUUUCUGAUAAAGGAACCUUUUUUCGGUCUUAAAACACCGAUGGAAAAGGGGGGGUUUAUUUCUGGUGUCAGCCGCCGCGGUAAUACCAGCUUUUCAGGUGGUCAGGAUGAUUAUUGGGCCUAAAGAAUGCGUAGCCUGCUUUGUUAGUUUUCGGUUAAAUCUGUACGCUCAACGUUUCGGCUGCCGGAGAUACUGCUCGGUUAGGGAGUGGGAGAGGUAGACGGUACUCAGUAUGAAGGGGUAAAAUCCUUUUAUCUAUUGAUGACCCCCUGUGGGGAAAGAGGGUCUAUAAAACAUGUCCAACGGAGAGGGAUGAAAGGUGGGGGAACAAAACGGAAUUAGUAUCCCGGGUAUUCCACUUGUAAACAAUCCCAAUUUGGUGAUUCCUUGGAGUAAAACCCGUGCAGUGCCGAAGGAAACCGUUUUGUUUUCCAGCUGGGAAGACCUUCCCAUUUAUAAACUCAAAUGAAUUGCGGAU